GAUGAACGCUGGCGGCGUGCCUAAUACAUGCAAGUCGAGCGAACAGAUGAGGAGCUUGCUCCUCUGACGUUAGCGGCGGACGGGUGAGUAACACGUGGAUAACCUACCUAUAAGACUGGGAUAACUUCGGGAAACCGGAGCUAAUACCGGAUAAUAUAUUGAACCGCAUGGUUCAAUAGUGAAAGACGGUUUUGCUGUCACUUAUAGAUGGAUCCGCGCCGCAUUAGCUAGUUGGUAAGGUAACGGCUUACCGAGGCAACGAUGCGUAGCCGACCUGAGAGGGUGAUCGGCCACACUGGAACUGAGACACGGUCCAGACUCCUACGGGAGGCAGCAGUAGGGAAUCUUCCGCAAUGGGCGAAAGCCUGACGGAGCAACGCCGCGUGAGUGAUGAAGGUCUUCGGAUCGUAAAACUCUGUUAUUAGGGAAGAACAAAUGUGUAAGUAACUAUGCACGUCUUGACGGUACCUAAUCAGAGAGCCACGGCUAACUACGUG
Molecule: ribosomal RNA, 497 nt
Filed under: uncultured bacterium
Lineage: Bacteria
Description: partial 16S ribosomal RNA
Rfam family: Bacterial small subunit ribosomal RNA
Source: RNAcentral